ACAUGCAAGUCGAGGGGAACGACAUCGAAAGCUUGCUUUUGAUGGGCGUCGACCGGCGCACGGGUGAGUAACGCGUAUCCAACCUGCCCAUCACUUGGGGAUAACCUUGCGUAAGUAAGACUAAUACCCAAUGACGUCUCUAGAAGACAUCUGAAAGAGAUUAAAGAUUUAUCGGUGAUGGAUGGGGAUGCGUCUGAUUAGCUUGUUGGCGGGGUAACGGCCCACCAAGGCGACGAUCAGUAGGGGUUCUGAGAGGAAGGUCCCCCACAUUGGAACUGAGACACGGUCCAAACUCCUACGGGAGGCAGCAGUGAGGAAUAUUGGUCAAUGGACGAGAGUCUGAACCAGCCAAGUAGCGUGCAGGAUGACGGCCCUAUGGGUUGUAAACUGCUUUUAUAAGGGAAUAAAGUUAGUCUCGUGAGACUUUUUGCAUGUACCUUAUGAAUAAGGACCGGCUAAUUCCGUGCCAGCAGCCGCGGUAAUACGGAAGGUCCGGGCGUUAUCCGGAUUUAUUGGGUUUAAAGGGAGCGUAGGCCGGAGAUUAAGCGUGUUGUGAAAUGUAGACGCUCAACGUCUGCACUGCAGCGCGAACUGGUUUCCUUGAGUACGCACAAAGUGGGCGGAAUUCGUGGUGUAGCGGUGAAAUGCUUAGAUAUCACGAAGAACUCCGAUUGCGAAGGCAGCUCACUGGAGCGCAACUGACGCUGAAGCUCGAAAGUGCGGGUAUCGAACAGGAUUAGAUACCCUGGUAGUCCGCACGGUAAACGAUGGAUGCCCGCUGUUGGUCUGAAUAGGUCAGCGGCCAAGCGAAAGCAUUAAGCAUCCCACCUGGGGAGUACGCCGGCAACGGUGAAACUCAAAGGAAUUGACGGGGGCCCGCACAAGCGGAGGAACAUGUGGUUUAAUU
RNAcentral lists this ribosomal RNA (907 nucleotides) under uncultured bacterium. RNAcentral describes it as "bacterial SSU rRNA". It matches the Rfam family "Bacterial small subunit ribosomal RNA", at positions 53 to 951 of the family's 1533-position model. The record is from RNAcentral.